Molecule: ribosomal RNA, 822 nt
Filed under: uncultured Cryptomonadaceae
Lineage: Eukaryota; Cryptophyceae; Cryptomonadales; Cryptomonadaceae
Description: SSU rRNA
Rfam family: Eukaryotic small subunit ribosomal RNA
Source: RNAcentral
UUACCCAAUCCCGAUUCGGGGAGGUAGUGACAAUAAAUAACAAUACAGGGCCAACGGUCUUGUUAUUGGAAUGAGAACAAUUCAAAUAACUUAACGAGGAUCAAUUAGAGGGCAAGUCUGGUGCCAGCAGCCGCGGUAAUUCCAGCUCUAAUAGCGUAUAUUAAAGUUGUUGCAGUUAAAAAGCUCGUAGUCGGAUGUCGGGCUCGGGCAGGCUGUCGGCUUUGGUCGGACGGCAGGCUCGGGUCUUUCUGCCUGAGGAUCCCGUCACUUGAUUGUGGCGGGGGACGCAGGCCGUUUACUUUGAAAAAAUUAGAGUGUUCAAAGCAGGCCUACGCUUGAAUACAUUAGCAUGGAAUAAUGGAAUAGGACUUUGGUGCUAUUUUGUUGGUUUAUGGGACCGAAGUAAUGAUUAACAGGGACAGUUGGGGCCGUUUAUAUUUCGUUGUCAGAGGUGAAAUUCUUGGAUUUACGAAAGAUAAACUUCUGCGAAAGCAUUCGGCAAGGAUGUUUUCAUUGAUCAAGAACGAAAGUUAGGGGAUCGAAGACGAUCAGAUACCGUCGUAGUCUUAACCAUAAACUAUGCCGACUAGGGAUCAGUGGAUGUCAAUUUGCGACUCCAUUGGCACCUUGUGAGAAAUCAAAGUUUUUGGGUUCCGGGGGGAGUAUGGUCGCAAGGCUGAAACUUAAAGGAAUUGACGGAAGGGCACCACCAGGAGUGGAGCCUGCGGCUUAAUUUGACUCAACACGGGGAAACUUACCAGGUCCAGACAUAGUAAGGAUUGACAGAUUGAAAGCUCUUUCUUGACUCUAUGGGUGGUGGUG